RNAcentral lists this ribosomal RNA (253 nucleotides) under uncultured bacterium. Its description in RNAcentral is "partial 16S ribosomal RNA". It matches the Rfam family "Bacterial small subunit ribosomal RNA", at positions 524 to 776 of the family's 1533-position model. The record is from RNAcentral.
UACGUAGGGUGCGAGCGUUGUCCGGAAUUAUUGGGCGUAAAGAGCUCGUAGGCGGUUUGUUGCGUCUAUCGUGAAAACCUGCAGCUUAACUGUGGGCUUGCGGUGGAUACGGGCAGACUAGAGUGCUGUAGGGGAGACUGGAAUUCCUGGUGUAGCGGUGAAAUGCGCAGAUAUCAGGAGGAACACCGGUGGCGAAGGCGGGUCUCUGGGCAGUAACUGACGCUGAGGAGCGAAAGCGUGGGGAGCGAACAGG